Molecule: ribosomal RNA, 478 nt
Filed under: uncultured bacterium
Lineage: Bacteria
Description: partial 16S ribosomal RNA
Rfam family: Bacterial small subunit ribosomal RNA
Source: RNAcentral
GAUGAACGCUGGCGGCGUGCUUAACACAUGCAAGUCGAACGAGAAGUGAAGACGGAAACCUUCGGGCGGAAGGCUUUAUUUCGAGUGGCGGACGGGUGAGUAACGCGUGGGUAACCUGCCUCAUACAGGGGGAUAACAGUUGGAAACGACUGUUAAUACCGCAUAAGACCACAGCACCGCAUGGUGCGGGGGUAAAAACUCCGGUGGUAUGAGAUGGACCCGCGUUCGAUUAGCCAGUUGGCGGGGUAACGGCCCACCAAAGCGACGAUCGAUAGCCGAUCUGAGAGGAUGACCGGCCACAUUGGGACUGGGACACAGCCCGGACUCCUACGGGAGGCAGCAGUGGGGAAUAUUGCACAAUGGGGGAAACCCUGAUGCAGCGACGCCGCGUAAGUGAAGAAGUAUUUCGGUAAGUAAAGCUCUAUCAGCAGGGAAGAAAAUGACGGUACCUGAGGAAGAAGCCCCGGCUAACUACGUG